CCCCGCAAGGGGAGUGGCAGACGGGUGAGUAACACGUGGGAACAUGCCCAAAGGUACGGAAUAUUCUCGGGAAACUGGGAGCAAUACCGUAUGUGCCCGAAAGGGGAAAGAUUUAUCGCCUUUGGAUUGGCCCGCGUCAGAUUAGGUAGUUGGUGGGGUAAAAGCCUACCAAGCCGACGAUCUGUAGCUGGUCUGAGAGGACGACCAGCCACACUGGGACUGAGACACGGCCCAGACUCCUACGGGAGGCAGCAGUGGGGAAUCUUGGACAAUGGGCGAAAGCCUGAUCCAGCAAUGCCGCGUGAGUGAUGAAGGCCUUAGGGUUGUAAAGCUCUUUUACCAGGGAUGAUAAUGACAGUACCUGGAGAAUAAGCUCCGGCUAACUCCGUGCCAGCAGCCGCGGUAAUACGGAGGGAGCUAGCGUUGUUCGGAAUUACUGGGCGUAAAGCGCGCGUAGGCGGCUAUUCAAGUCAGAGGUGAAAGCCUGGAGCUCAACUCCAGAACUGCCUUUGAAACUAGAUAGCUAGAAUCUUGGAGAGGCGAGUGGAAWUUCCGAGUGUAGAGGUGAAAUUCGUAGAUAUUCGGAAGAACACCAGUGGCGAAAGCGACUCGCUGGACAAGUAUUGACGCUGAGUGCGAAAGCGUGGGGAGCAACAGGAUUAGAUACCCUGGUAGUCCACGC
RNAcentral lists this ribosomal RNA (682 nucleotides) under uncultured bacterium. Its description in RNAcentral is "bacterial SSU rRNA". It matches the Rfam family "Bacterial small subunit ribosomal RNA", at positions 82 to 800 of the family's 1533-position model. The record is from RNAcentral.